GCCGAUGUGGUGGAAUUGGUAGACACGCCGGAUUCAAAAUCCGGUUCCUCACGGAGUGACGGUUCGACCCCGUCCAUCGGUACCA
This 85-nucleotide transfer RNA is filed under the name Bathymodiolus heckerae thiotrophic gill symbiont. RNAcentral's name for it is "tRNA-Leu-CAA". It matches the Rfam family "tRNA". Rfam says of the family: Transfer RNA (tRNA) molecules are approximately 80 nucleotides in length. RNAcentral also lists the same sequence under 9 other names. The record is from RNAcentral.